RNAcentral lists this ribosomal RNA (501 nucleotides) under uncultured Verrucomicrobiota bacterium. RNAcentral's name for it is "bacterial SSU rRNA". It matches the Rfam family "Bacterial small subunit ribosomal RNA", at positions 355 to 849 of the family's 1533-position model. Lineage: Bacteria; Pseudomonadati; Verrucomicrobiota. The record is from RNAcentral.
UCGAGAAUUUUUCUCAAUGGGGGAAACCCUGAAGGAGCGACGCCGCGUGAAGGAUGAAGGUCUUCGGAUUGUAAACUUCUGUCAUUUGAGAACAAUGUGCACGAAUUAACUGUUUGUGCAUUGAUAGUAUCAGAAGAGGAAGAGACGGCUAACUCUGUGCCAGCAGCCGCGGUAAUACAGAGGUCUCAAGCGUUGUUCGGAUUCAUUGGGCGUAAAGGGUGCGUAGGUGGCGAGGUAAGUCGGAUGUGAAAUCCCGGGGCUCAACCCCGGAACUGCAUUCGAUACUGCCCGGCUAGAGUACUGGAGAGGAGAUUGGAAUUUACGGUGUAGCAGUGAAAUGCGUAGAUAUCGUAAGGAAGACCAGUGGCGAAGGCGGAUCUCUGGACAGUUACUGACACUGAGGCACGAAGGCCAGGGGAGCAAACGGGAUUAGAUACCCCGGUAGUCCUGGCAGUAAACGGUGCGCGUUUGGUGUGGGAGGAUUCGACCCUUCCGUGCCGG